AACGAACGCUGGCGGCAUGCCUAACACAUGCAAGUCGAACGAUUGCCUUCGGGUGAUAGUGGCGCACGGGUGCGUAACGCGUGGGAAUCUGCCCUUAGGUUCGGAAUAACAGCUGGAAACGGCUGCUAAUACCGGAUGAUAUCGCGAGAUCAAAGAUUUAUCGCCUGAGGAUGAGCCCGCGUUGGAUUAGGUAGUUGGUGGGGUAAAGGCCUACCAAGCCGACGAUCCAUAGCUGGUCUGAGAGGAUGAUCAGCCACACUGGGACUGAGACACGGCCCAGACUCCUACGGGAGGCAGCAGUGGGGAAUAUUGGACAGUGGGCGCAAGCCUGAUCCAGCAAUGCCGCGUGAGUGAUGAAGGCCCUAGGGUUGUAAAGCUCUUUUACCCGGGAAGAUAAUGACUGUACCGGGAGAAUAAGCCCCGGCUAACUCCGUG
RNAcentral lists this ribosomal RNA (435 nucleotides) under uncultured bacterium. RNAcentral describes it as "partial 16S ribosomal RNA". It matches the Rfam family "Bacterial small subunit ribosomal RNA", at positions 29 to 507 of the family's 1533-position model. The record is from RNAcentral.